This 569-nucleotide long non-coding RNA is filed under the name Pan troglodytes (chimpanzee). RNAcentral's name for it is "long non-coding RNA NONPTRT015199". The record is from RNAcentral. Lineage: Eukaryota; Metazoa; Chordata; Mammalia; Primates; Hominidae.
AUAUGUUUAACUCAGUUCUGUCAAUAAAAAUGUGCACAAUAACAAACCUUACAUAGAGAUCUCUAUAACUAAAUGUCUGCCUAAAACAAAACUAGCCUCUGAAAUCAAGAAAUCACAACGUUAUGCAAGUCCUUUUACAUGGUCCAUAAUUACAUUUAGGGGAUCCACACACUCUUUUAAAUUGCAAGUAAAAUUUUGUGUGCAAAAGUAUUUUUUCCCUCAAGAGUCCAUUGCUUCCUUUAUUUCUCAAAGGCCUCUGAUCUCUCCCCAAAUUAAGAACAAAUGGUUAAAGGGACUAAAGGAAUGAGUGACCCUGAGUAGGGUAUUAUGAUAUGGACUUGUUGCUUUACCUUUAGCUCCCAGAAUUAUCCUCUCUUGCAGGUCCUCAGCCUCAGCAGUAUGCUUUUUGCUGUUCAUUGAGAUUAAUUUUUGUUUUUGUUUUCCAAAUGACUUCUUCAUUUCUCUAACAGAACCCUCCUUGCCAGGAACAUUCACAGGUAAUACUUCAAAAUGAAAAUAUCUAUUCUCCUUGAAGAUCUUCCUAACUAUGCACUAAUAAACAGCAGCAC